CCCCCCUAAGGGAAUUGAAGUCAAUACGGGCGAGUGAGCAGCACAGCUCAGUUUGACAGCUGGCCCCCCCGGGGGUCCACGUUGUAAUUUGAAGAGGAUGAUUCGGCGAGGGCUCCCGCCUAAGUCCCCUGGAACGGGGCGUCAUAGAGGGUGAGAAUCCCGUAUGCGGUGGGCUGCCUUAGCCACGUGAAUCUCCUUCGACGAGUCGAGUUGUUUGGGAAUGCAGCUCUAAAUGGGAGGUAAAUUUCUUCUAAAGCUAAAUACCGGCCAGAGACCGAUAGCGCACAAGUAGAGUGAUCGAAAGAUGAAAAGCACUUUGGAAAGAGAGUUAAAAAGUACGUGAAAUUGUUGAAAGGGAAGCGCUUGCAGCCAGACUUGUCCGCAGUUGCUCAGCCGGGUCUCCUGACCGGCGCACUCUUCUGCGGCCAGGCCAGCAUCAGUUCGGGCGGUCGGAUAAAGGCCCCGGGGAACGUAGCUCCUCUCGGGGAGUGUUAUAGCCCGGGGUGGAAUGCGGCCAGCCCGGACUGAGGGAUCUCGCUUCGGGCUAGGAUGCUGGGCGUAAUGGGCUGUAAGCGGCCCGUCUUGGAAACACAGAACCAAA
This 601-nucleotide ribosomal RNA is filed under the name Neoscytalidium dimidiatum. Its description in RNAcentral is "eukaryotic LSU rRNA". It matches the Rfam family "Eukaryotic large subunit ribosomal RNA", at positions 1 to 671 of the family's 3401-position model. The record is from RNAcentral. Lineage: Eukaryota; Fungi; Ascomycota; Dothideomycetes; Botryosphaeriales; Botryosphaeriaceae.